GUGCCCACUUCUGCAGCAAAUAUACUAAAACUGGACAAUAGAGAAAUUAUCGUGGCCCCUACACAAGGGUGACACAAAAAUUCAUUGUGUUCCAUAUUUUU
This 101-nucleotide small nuclear RNA is filed under the name Carlito syrichta (Philippine tarsier). Lineage: Eukaryota; Metazoa; Chordata; Mammalia; Primates; Tarsiidae. The record is from RNAcentral.